RNAcentral lists this ribosomal RNA (465 nucleotides) under Vreelandella stevensii. RNAcentral describes it as "partial 16S ribosomal RNA". It matches the Rfam family "Bacterial small subunit ribosomal RNA", at positions 338 to 795 of the family's 1533-position model. The record is from RNAcentral. Lineage: Bacteria; Pseudomonadati; Pseudomonadota; Gammaproteobacteria; Oceanospirillales; Halomonadaceae.
CCUACGGGUGGCUGCAGUGGGGAAUAUUGGACAAUGGGGGGAACCCUGAUCCAGCCAUGCCGCGUGUGUGAAGAAGGCCCUCGGGUUGUAAAGCACUUUCAGUGGGGAAGAACGCCUUGUAGUUAAUACCCAUCAGCAAAGACAUCACUCACAGAAGAAGCACCGGCUAACUCCGUGCCAGCAGCCGCGGUAAUACGGAGGGUGCGAGCGUUAAUCGGAAUUACUGGGCGUAAAGCGCGCGCAGGUGGCUUGAUAAGCCGGUUGUGAAAGCCCCGGGCUCAACCUGGGAACUGCAUCCGGAACUGUCAAGCUAGAGUGCAGGAGAGGAAGGUAGAAUUCCCGGUGUAGCGGUGAAAUGCGUAGAGAUCGGGAGGAAUACCAGUGGCGAAGGCGGCCUUCUGGACUGAGACUGACACUGAGGUGCGAAAGCGUGGGGAGCAAACAGGAUUAGAUACCCCGGUAGUC